Molecule: ribosomal RNA, 254 nt
Filed under: uncultured bacterium
Lineage: Bacteria
Description: partial 16S ribosomal RNA
Rfam family: Bacterial small subunit ribosomal RNA
Source: RNAcentral
GACGAACCGUGCAAACGUUAUUCGGAAUCACUGGGCUUAAAGCGCGUGUAGGCGGGACGGCACGUUGGUCGCUGAAAGCCCCCGGCUCAACCGGGGAACUGGCGCCGAUACGACCGUCCUGGAGGAACGUAGGGGGACCUGGAACUUCCGGUGGAGCGGUGAAAUGCGUUGAGAUCGGAAGGAACGCCCGUGGCGAAAGCGAGGUCCUGGACGUUUUCUGACGCUGAGACGCGAAAGCCAGGGUAGCGAACGGG